Molecule: long non-coding RNA, 685 nt
Organism: Diabrotica virgifera virgifera (western corn rootworm)
Lineage: Eukaryota; Metazoa; Arthropoda; Insecta; Coleoptera; Chrysomelidae
Exons: 3
Source: RefSeq, a predicted model, not a curated record
UUAGAUUGGAGCCUCUUCUAAGAUACUUUCAUAAAUUUACAAACUUAACCAAAUCAUGGAGACCGUAGUACAUCAAUGAACAUUUUCUCCAAAUGAUCUUUAAAAAAAAAUAAAUUUUUAUGAUUAUUCAACAGAAACAAAGUCAUCAUGGAACAAAUUUGUGUGAAUGUUCGUCUUUUGACAGUAUUAGAAUAUCAUCAAUGUAGUGAAGGAUAAAAUCAUCAUACUUAUUUAAAAUAUUAUGGAGAGCGCGAACUAAAGCACUACAGGAACUCUGCAAACCAUAAGGCACAACACAAAAUCUGUAAAGAACACCAUCAAUCAUAAAAGCAGUAUAAUCCCUGGAUUCAUGGGCUAAAGGAAUCAACCAAAAACUAUGUCUCAAAUCUACUUUGCUAAAAUAUUUUGCCCCCGUUAUUCUCCCGAAAAUAGUUUCUGUUGUAGCAGGUGCUUCGUAUUGUGAUACUACAUGAGCUCCCAUGUCCAAAAAUUCCCUAUGAUGUUCAUACAGUUUGGUUGCAAUAUUGCCUAGCAGGUGCGAUCUACAAAACCCGGUUCAAAUGUUUCCAUCUGUCCGGAUGACAUUGAUGGUUGAUCUGAAUCAUUACCAUCCAUCACUACAUUAUUGACUUCAAACCGUGCCCUCCUAUCAUUAUUACCACGACUAUUUGGAGGUUGAUCAGAA